Molecule: ribosomal RNA, 497 nt
Filed under: uncultured bacterium
Lineage: Bacteria
Description: partial 16S ribosomal RNA
Rfam family: Bacterial small subunit ribosomal RNA
Source: RNAcentral
GAUGAACGCUGGCGGCGUGCCUAAUACAUGCAAGUCGAGCGAACAGACUAUUAUCUUGCUCCCCUGACGUUAGCGUCGGACGUGUGAGUGACACGGGGAGAACCUACCUAUAAGACUGGCAUAACUUCGGGAAACCGAAGCAAAAACCGUUGAUUAUAUUGAAUCACCUGGUUCGAUAGUAAAGUACGGUUUUGCUAUCACUGAUAGAUUGAUCCGAGCCGCAUUAGAUAGUGGGUAAUGGAAUGGCUUAACAAGGCGACGAUGCGAAGCCGACCUGAGAGGGUGAUCCGACACACUGGCACUGAGACAGAGUCCAGACUCCUACGCGAGGCCGCAGUCGGGAAUCCUCCGCAAUGGGGGAAAGCCUGACGGAGCAAAGCCGCGUGAGUGCUGAAGGUCUUACGAUCGUAAAACUAUGUUAUUAGGGAAGAACAAAUGUGUAAGCAACUAUGCACGUAUUGACGGUACCUAAUCAGAAAGCCACGGCUAACUACGUG